This 254-nucleotide ribosomal RNA is filed under the name uncultured prokaryote. RNAcentral's name for it is "partial 16S ribosomal RNA". It matches the Rfam family "Bacterial small subunit ribosomal RNA", at positions 524 to 776 of the family's 1533-position model. The record is from RNAcentral.
UACGUAGGGGGCGAGCGUUGCCCGGAAUCAUUGGGCGUAAAGGGCGCGCAGGCGGCCGUGUUGGUCGCGGGUGAAAGCGCUCGGCUCAACCGAGCAGGGUCCCGCGAAACGGCACGGCUCGAGCCAGGCAGGGGGUCGUGGAAUUCCCGGUGUAGUGGUGGAAUGCGUAGAGAUCGGGAGGAACACCAGUGGCGAAGGCGGCGACCUGGGCCUGAAGCUGACGCUGAGGCGCGAAAGCGUGGGGAGCGAUCCGG